UGUUACCGGAGAGGGAAGUUGCCAGACUCAAUAUGUGUGGCGCCUGCGCCUGUGUGUGUGAGUGAGAGACAGAAGAGAGCGGAGAGAGCUGAAAGAACGGACGUCAACAGGAUAUUUUUACGCAAAAAUCGAUAGCUCCACUCCCACGCCGUGACGUCAGAAGCAACCCGUCCGGACUCCGACAAACAAACGAAUUGGCACAUUCAACCAAUUGAGAGCGUCAAAUCGCUCUUAUCAGUGCUAUUCCAGAAUGCGAGCAUAUGGCCGUCACCUUCCAGUCAGACCCUCAUCCCCCUCUUCACCAUCCACACCCGCAUUUCAAUCGAGCUAACGACCGCUUUUCUUGAUAAGCGACGGUUGCAACUACAUAAAAACAAAAUGAUAAGCUCCGAUCCGAAGAUGAUCAGUGGGCCAAAAAUUGGAAUUGGGAUGCACCUCAGGAGGCGGCGAGGCGUACACGAAUUGUAUGUGCCCUCCAAGGAACAAUGAUUAUUGAAAUGUCUAAAGAAAACUAAAAUUUAAGCUCCUUGCCAUUCAUUUUAAUUGUGAUUGGCAUUCGAGAACGCAAAUAUACUUGAUUCAUACAAUCUAAGCCACGCUACUUAUUGCCGACUGCAGUCGGGCAUUCAAAAAAGACUGCAAACGCGCGUUCGCAGCGGAUAUUAGCUAUCUUUAUAGCACACUUAACUCACAGCAGCAAACCCCAUCAACUACAACGACAAACUGGUUGCGAACAAAUCCACAUUGCAGGAAAAUAAGGGGUGUAAAUCAAACACGAACCUCAAAGGCGGGCAAUUUUGCUUGCUCCUACUGUUUUUGUUGUGACAUCUAACCAGUUUCUUGUAAAACACAGCAAACGUCGUUCGCACCCCUGACGCCUGUAACUCUUUCUCAGUUAUUGUUGGGGCCGCCGUUGCAGUUGCGAAAUCAUAACGUCAGCGCACCGAAUACCAACUUUGUUUACUUUAUCAGCACAGUUUUGGAGAGGCCAUAAAACCGUCACCAAGAAUCGCACACCCGCACUCAGCGAAAAAUGGCAAAGGAUGUGGGGUCAGCAUCGCCACAUCACGUACCAAGGCCAUAAUAUAUGCGAUUUUCAGGCCUAACUAGAAUUAAACAGCUCAUUAAAUUGUGUCAGUUACCCGCUGGAGCACAAGUGGAAUGUUCAGAUGCCAUUGGGUCACAUAAAAAACCAGACAAGAGCCACAAAUAACGAUUCCUAGGCUAAAGAACGAUGGCCGUUUAAUUGUCAUUACCUAUACAAAUUUGUAGCAUCAUUGCAUGAAUCUAAAAAUAAAAU
Drosophila melanogaster (fruit fly) is the source of this 1300-nucleotide non-coding RNA. NCBI's taxonomy places the organism in Eukaryota, Metazoa, Arthropoda, Insecta, Diptera, Drosophilidae. The record is from Ensembl.